CGUAUGGCGACCGGCGCACGGGUGAGUAACGCGUAUGCAACCUGCCCGAUACCGGGGUAUAGCCCAUGGAAACGUGGAUUAACACCCCAUAGUACUUUUAUCCUGCAUGGGAUGUGAGUUAAAUGUUCAAGGUAUCGGAUGGGCAUGCGUCCUAUUAGUUAGUUGGCGGGGUAACAGCCCACCAAGACGAUGAUAGGUAGGGGUUCUGAGAGGAAGGUCCCCCACAUUGGAACUGAGACACGGUCCAA
RNAcentral lists this ribosomal RNA (248 nucleotides) under uncultured bacterium. Its description in RNAcentral is "partial 16S ribosomal RNA". It matches the Rfam family "Bacterial small subunit ribosomal RNA", at positions 85 to 334 of the family's 1533-position model. The record is from RNAcentral.